UGAAUUGUAUAAAGUGCAUAUAUAUUUAAGACUGAAGAAGGUAGCAACCUCCACAACAAUGCUGCAGAGGGCCUCCACGUACUAAGAUCAGGCACUAAAUGUUAGAACAUACAAAAAACACAGCAGCCUCACCACGUGACACGUGAUAAACCAGGCAACAAAACCAGCCUCCACUAAGCAAGUCAACAAGAACACAGACGUUUAUGAAAUAUUCAAUUUAAUUAAAGGCUAUUUUUUAUAUAAUACAUUAACUAUGGGCUUUAUUUAAAAAAAAACAACAACAAUCUUUUAGGCCAGUACACGGCACGAACAAAAGACUUCGACCCAAUCAUUACAAAACAAUGGCAUGCCAAACACAUGGAGUGCAACCUACUUUGGUGAUGUAUGCGGUCUACACGAUCAAAUGAAGGCAAGGCUUUCGUCAGGAAACAGAUGAUUGAACUGAUGCAUGAUGGCCUUAAAUUUGGACAUUUUGUCAACAUUUUCAAUUACCCCUGCCCCCCCCCCCCCCUUUUUCGCUGGUGUCAUUUGCGUAUACGUAAUGUUAGGGCUGUGGUCAAACUGUCAACUACUCGUGAAAUCCUUCACAGUAAUGAGAAUGAAAUGAUCCACAGUUCGGUGCUUCUAUUUUAACUUCAAGUCUUAGGAAGAUAAACCCUACUGUAUAUAGUUCAACAUUUAUUUUUGACUUUCCAUAUUGUCAGUCUCAGUCUGUUGUUAUGAAUAUAUAGAGCUAUUUUUUUAUCCAAUAUUCAUUUUUACUUAACCACUAAAAGUAAGUCAAUUCUGCUUCUAAGAAUUUUCAACCUGGAUUAUCUUCCCUGAUACAUGUCAUAAUUAUUGUUUGGAAAAAAUAAUUUACAUAAUUUAAUUAAAAUGCAGUAAUCAUACAUCUGGAGUAUUUAAACAACAAUAAUUGAUCAGUUUAUAAAAAAAACCCACAACAAAAUAAAUAUUUGAUUCAAGUAAUUCAGAGGUUUUAACUUUUUCUAUAUAUACGCUCCAUUUUCACCAGAAAGUCUCUCUUCCAUUCAAUUCUGUUUGUACAUUAUGCACUCCUCAUUAACACUACCUUUGGUGUCACUGGAAGAUUGAAUUUUUGGUAGGACAAUCAAUCUCAAAAAUCAAUCGUUAAUAAGUCCUUCAUUUAUGAUAAUGUUUCAAAUCUGCACAGAAUUAUGUUAAAAAAAAAAAAAAGAUUUUUGAAACACAAACAAUAUAAUAGAAAAACUAAAUUUUCUUUAAAAACAAAAGCACUAUCUAAAUAAUUUUUUGAGAACAAAUGUAUUAAUGCAUAUAAACAUGUAAUUUAUUAUAUAUGCAUGUAUAUAUAGUUUUCUAGCCGUUUAUAUACAGGAAGCCUAUAAGGCCAUAUUGAUUUAUACAGUUCAAGCACAAUCAAUGAUGACUACCUAUAAUGUUCUUUAUAUCUCCAUCAUUUCUAAAUCAUGAUAAAGAAAAUAUAUUUACAGUUCCACAAAGUAUAACUGUUGUACAAAACAAUAAACACCAGAUUCAGAAACUGUCAAAUCUAUUAUAUACGAUUCUUUUUUAAAUAUAUUACAGUCAACCCUGUCUUAAAGCCUGCAUUCUCUAUAUUCAUUGAAAAAAAAAUUGCUCAAUGGAGUGAUGAUUGAAUUCUUUCUUUUGAUUUAGAUAUUUUAUUAAGAGCUACAUGGAAAGUGGCAACUCUCAAGUUGUUGUGUUCCAUAUACAGUUUAGUUUUUAUGGGGAUUUUUACUCAAGGAAGGAGGUCUGAAGUGAUGUUCUAGAAUAUAUAUACCAGCCUCUGUAUGUCUCAUCAAGGGAAUACUUCUGGAAAGACAACUAUACAAACAAUAUGUUAAGUCAGUAGCUAAAAAAAAAAAAAAUACUGGCAAACUAUUUUACUUAAGAGCCCAUUGGAAAACAACUUGGUCCAAAGGAAGCCUUUAAAAAAAAGAAAUUCUAAAUGCAAAACAGGGGGGAGAGGAGUAGAAGGAGGAAGGAGAAAGAAGUUUAUUAAAAAUGACAAUACAAAUGAAGACAAAUAAUUUAGUAAUGGGAAGGGUAACAACCUAUCCCUGUCACACAGUCAGGAUAAAUAAUCCUGUACAGAAUUAUAGCAUAUUAAACUUCAGGGUAAUACAUUAACGUACAAAAUGUGAGCUCAUUAUACAUGGUGAAUACAAUAAGUUGUGCAAUAGACUAAAUGAUGGACUAGUAGUGAUACAUCCUUGAGAAAUAGUUUGUCUUUUUUUAAACUAAGCUUCAAUGUCAAGAGAAGAGGACUACCCUUAUUUCUUUGACCCUUUCAACUUUUAAAUUGGUAGACCUUAAGUAACUAUUAUAUAAUUAUGCCACUGUCAUGUUGACUAUUCAAUUAUAUUCUAUGUGGACCUCUUGUAAUGAAUCAAAUGUCUCUGUUGAACCUAUACUCUUCAAUCACCUCAUAAGCCAACUAUAAAUCAGACUAAACAUAAUUAUUUUUUUCUUGGACCUUCACAUGAUGCAGUAUCAAAAUGUUUAUUCUUCAGUCCAGAGAUAAAUUCCUUCCAUUCUUCAUCUUCAAAUAGUAUUUUCUAUUAUAUAUUCAAUUUCACUCCAACUAUAAAAGUUGCAAAGACAUUAACCUCUUGUAAAUAUAUAAAGACCAAAAAUAUGGUAACUCUACAUAGAAGUAAGAUGAACCACUCAUAUGACCAACAAAGGAUGCUUGGUUGCUUACCAGACAAAGUUCAGUUAUAUAGAACACAUAGGUUACUAACUUUCCUGCUUUACAGAAAUUUAGGCAGUGGUUGAUUAAUUUUUAUAAAACUAAGGAAAAGCAUUAUUUCUACUAUUUCCUGAAAACCUCUACCACUAGGAUUUGAAAACACUUUUUCUUAAUAUGUUCAUCUUUUUCUUUACUUUUUCAAAAUUCUCUAGUAGUCAGAACAAUGUUCACUUGUACCACAAGGACAGCUUAACAAAUUUCUAAUCAUGCACCCACUGUGUUUAAGAAUAAUUUACCAGUUGGUGAUGUAUUAAUCCAACAAACUGACAAGAACUUUCAAAAUGAGCAUGUAUAUUUUAUUUAUCAGCCGACAUUCAACAGUAAUGUACACUAAAUAUAAGGCAAAUUUGUUAGUAGGUUGGGAUGAUAUCAUGACCAUAGCAUUUAGUCCUCAAGAGGAAACAAUAAACAAAGAACAUUUGGAUGAAAUGCAACAAAUUAAAUGGACACCAAACAAUACUGUUGUAUUAUAUAUAUAUAUAUAUAUAUAUA
Biomphalaria pfeifferi is the source of this 3247-nucleotide non-coding RNA. The record is from the annotation of a GenBank genome assembly. NCBI's taxonomy places the organism in Eukaryota, Metazoa, Mollusca, Gastropoda, Planorbidae.